UUUUUUGUAAUAUAAAUAAUUAUUAUUUUUACCUUCCAAGUAGACAAUCUCGCAAGAGCUUAAAAA
Molecule: transfer RNA, 66 nt
Filed under: Biomphalaria glabrata
Lineage: Eukaryota; Metazoa; Mollusca; Gastropoda; Planorbidae
Description: tRNA-Gly
Source: RNAcentral